Molecule: non-coding RNA, 437 nt
Organism: Ciona intestinalis (vase tunicate)
Lineage: Eukaryota; Metazoa; Chordata; Ascidiacea; Phlebobranchia; Cionidae
Source: RefSeq, a predicted model, not a curated record
CGCUUACAGUUAAAAACAUAUCUACAUUUAUUUUUAAGUUAGACUUCGAAUAAAAAAAAGUGGCGGCUCCAAAAACAGGAGUUGAAGAGAAUUAAGGUCAUUUGAAGAGCAAAAAAUCAGUACCCAGCGGGAUGACAGUUGGUUGGUAGGUCCGCUUUCAUCUUAACCAAAAGCUAGUUUUAAUGCUCGGUGGUUUGUUUAUUGCAUGGCUGACGAUUUCGGCAACUCAUUUAAAGCAUUAGUAUUAAGUGUCCUCCUACAAAGGUUAACCUUGCCACAUAAUUGGAACUUCGUUUUACCCAGUUAAGCCAUAACCACUAUCUGCUAUGCUCGCCUUCUUUAUACAGGUUUGAACUCAGACCUUGGAUUUGUAAACUUUCGAAUUUGUUAGACGUCACACAAAUUUAUUCGGAAUUCAAAAACUUGUGCGGACAUCA